UGAUAUCUGAUGUGUACGCGAUACCUCAUAAUGCGUGAACCCUACAAGUCAUUUAUAUAAGGGAUUCUAAUAAGAGAAACAAUGACAAGCCUUUUCACUUGGAAGUCAAAGUAGCUCUUUGUGAAGCCCACCUGCAGAUAGCGGGUUCAAAAGUACAAGGUAACCAAACGGCACGAUCGGAUAUCCU
Atopostipes suicloacalis DSM 15692 is the source of this 187-nucleotide non-coding RNA. The record is from Rfam. Lineage: Bacteria; Bacillati; Bacillota; Bacilli; Lactobacillales; Carnobacteriaceae.